Molecule: ribosomal RNA, 486 nt
Filed under: uncultured bacterium
Lineage: Bacteria
Description: bacterial SSU rRNA
Rfam family: Bacterial small subunit ribosomal RNA
Source: RNAcentral
AUUGAACGCUGGCGGCAUGCUUUACACAUGCAAGUCGAACGGCAGCACAGGGAGCUUGCUCCCGGGUGGCGAGUGGCGCACGGGUGAGUAAUACAUCGGAACGUGUCCUGUUGUGGGGGAUAACUGCUCGAAAGGGUGGCUAAUACCGCAUGAGACCUGAGGGUGAAAGCGGGGGAUCGCAAGACCUCGCGCAAUUGGAGCGGCCGAUGCCCGAUUAGCUAGUUGGUGGGGUAAAGGCUCACCAAGGCGACGAUCGGUAGCUGGUCUGAGAGGACGACCAGCCACACUGGGACUGAGACACGGCCCAGACUCCUACGGGAGGCAGCAGUGGGGAAUUUUGGACAAUGGGGGCAACCCUGAUCCAGCCAUGCCGCGUGCAGGAUGAAGGCCUUCGGGUUGUAAACUGCUUUGUCAGGGACGAAAGGACCGUGUUAAUACCAUGGUCUGCUGACGGUACCUGAAGAAUAAGCACCGGCUAACUACGUG